CUCGAGGACGAGCACGCCGUAGCUGUAGAUAUCGGCCUUCUCUGUCAGUUGCCCGUGGACGAUGUACUCCGGAGCCAUGUAUCCACUGUGCAGGAAAAAUGGAGUAUGAGUGCCAUUUCUUCAGACAGAUUUUCACAAUUUGGUAGGAAAGACCCUCCGCCGUCCCGAGGAUGAUCUCGAACCUCCGCUCCCAAUCCAGUGCGUUCUUCUUGAACGCGUCUGCAUGGCCAUCGAGCACGGAAGGUCAGAGAUGCAUACACCCACACGUUUUCAGGAGCAGAGAAAAUUCAGGGUGCAGAGAAGAUUAUUCAGGAUACCAAACAGGUAGUGGUCGAGGCUGGUGUUGCAGAGGUACUCGUAGACGAGGAGGCUCUCGGGGCCCUCGACGCUGCAGCCGAGCAGCUUCACCAGGUUCUUGUGCUGCACCUGGCUGACGAGCCGCACCUCGUUGAAGAACUGGUCCGCCCACUGCCGCGUGUUGAAGAAGAGCCGCUUCACGGCCACCUCCCGGCCGUCCGGCAGCACACCCUACGCCGCCAUGCAGAAAGGUGUCGGUGUAGGAUCAUGUACCUUGUAAACCGACCCGUAGCCGCCCUGGCCGAGCUUGUUGAUCUGGUUGAACUCGUCGGUCGCCCGGCGCAGCUCCUGGUACUUGAAGCUGAGGUGCGACGCGGCGAUGGCGCGGAUGAUCUCGCCGGAGCCGUCCAUGUCUGUGCAGUGUGGCCAACGGCAUGGCGCAGUGUCAGCUAUCAUGGGAAUGUGGCAUCAGGUGCCAAUGGCAUGAUGCAGUUUACAUACCGUCAUGGAGAUGGUCUCUUCUCGACCGCAUUUUCGUCCAGACGAACGCUAUGCCAAUGACGGCCACUGCCGAGAAGACUGAAGCGAUGACGAUGAUAACUGUGUGCCGCGCUGCCAUGAAAAACCCAGGAAUUUUUUUUUUGUCAGGCUCAGAAUCUUUGGAGGGAGCAAUGUGAUGUUCUUAUCUACGGAAUUUGCAGUUUAACCCUGUGGAUCUUUUCUA
Long non-coding RNA from Panicum hallii, 1021 nucleotides. RefSeq lists it as uncharacterized. The transcript has 3 exons. NCBI's taxonomy places the organism in Eukaryota, Viridiplantae, Streptophyta, Magnoliopsida, Poales, Poaceae. The record is from RefSeq and is a predicted model, not a curated record.